This 1858-nucleotide long non-coding RNA is filed under the name Homo sapiens (human). RNAcentral describes it as "HSALNT0292757". Lineage: Eukaryota; Metazoa; Chordata; Mammalia; Primates; Hominidae. The record is from RNAcentral.
AUAAGUGUGUGGUAGUUCCUCAUGCAUUCAUUCUCCUUCCUGCUGCCUUGUGAAGAAGGUGCUUUGCUUCCCCUUGCGCCGUGAUUAUAAGUUUCUUGAGGCCCCCCCAGACACGCUGAACUGUCAGUUAAAUCUCUUUCCUUUAUAAAUUACCCAGUCUCAGUAUUUUCAUAGCAGUGUGAGAACAGACUAAUACACUACUCAAGGGAUCUCAAUUUAGUUUUUCUCCAAAAGCAUGCUAAGAAUACCUCUAAUUCAGCUUCUUGUUUGUAGAAUAUAUUUAUGUUUGUGGAAAACACACAUUCUGGAUCCUGAUUUGAAUUCUGCUUUGUUAUAAAAAUGAAACUCACAUUGGUAAAAAUCAUAUAACUUGUGUUAGACAAAAUGCUAACAAGUCUCCCAAAAUUCCUGCCCCCAGUUUACAGACAAAUUUCACUUCCAUAAUUAAACUAUAUGAUAAGUCACAGCUGACUGUAAGAUAAAGGGAGAUUAUCAGUUUGGACCUGACCUAAUCAUACAAGCCCUUCAAAUCUGGAGAUUUCACUUAGAACCUCAUAUCCUAAAUCCUUAAAUUAGUAGGUUGACUUAAAUGAAUUCUAAACCAAUUAAAUUCUUUGUGGAAUGCCUAGGAAGUCAGAGAUUGGAAGCACCAUUGUUUGCUUCAGGAUGGAGGGGGCUUCCUGACAAGGACUGUGGGGGACCUCUAGGAGCUGAGAGCAGCCCCCACCUGAGAACCAGCAAGAAAAUAGAGAAUAAGCCUGGAAGCAACUUUUCCCCCAAAGCCUCCAGACAAGACCUCAGCCUGACCAACGCCUUGACUUCAGCUUGGUGAUAUCCUGGGCAGAGAACUGAGCCAUGGCUUGUCAUGCCAGCAUUCUGACCUACACAACUGUGAGCCAAUAAACAGGUAUUGUUUUCUGCCGUUCAAUUUUGGUAAUUUGUCACAUAGCAAGAGAAAAUUAAUACAUGACACAAAUUUUGAUUUGGAAAACAUGGUCACCGGAAAUAUAACUAGAAACAUAACAUUUGACCGCUUACCAGGUACCAUUGUUCAAAAUCCUUUACAUACAUUAACUCAUUUUAACCUUCAUAACAAGUCUAGGUAGUAGUUAGAAUUAUUUUUUUCAUUUUCUCUUGGUUUUACAGAAAGGUUAAGCAACCUGACCAAAGUCACACAGCUUAUAAAUCACAAAGCUGACAAAUAGCAGAGCUGAGGUUCAAAAACAGCAAUCUGGUUUCAAAACCUACUCUUAACUACUAUACUACAGUGUUUCCCAUUUUCAUAGCCUAUCCAGAGCCACAGAUGUCUCCUUCUCUCAUAUACGCAAGUUAAAAUCCCUAGGUGAACCAGUGCUUGAUUAGCUACGUUUCCUGUUUCUGCAUUGGUGAUCAUGGAAACAAAUGCUGAGAAGGAGCCUCUGCUGCCUGGGUACGUGAAUGACCACGGUGAACAGAGGGCUCAGUAAGGAACCCUGACGGACUGGUUUCAACUACUGUAGUGGGGGAAGACAAUCUGAUAUGAGGUAAGUCUUCUUAUAUUUAUGUACCAGAGAUGGGAUACUUAGUUAUAACAUUAACCUAGCAGAAGUAGAAUUAGGGUUAAUCCAGUGAAAAUUCAGCAAAAGUAAAUGAAUUCAAAUCCUUUUGUUAUACUAUACAAACUUUCACUUUAGAGAUCUUUAAUGAGAUUUGUUUCAAUAAAAUUAACUAUUCAAAAAUAUCAUGAAGUGAUAGGUUUUCAACUACUGUUAAUUUUUUAUAGUUCAACUAACAUGAAUAGAAAUUUAUACUGGGCUGAACACGGUGGCUCACGCCUGUACUCCUAGCACUUUUGGAGGCCAAGGCGGGUGGAUUGCCU